AACGAACGCUGGCGGCAUGCCUAACACAUGCGAGUCGAACGAGACCUUCGGGUCUAGUGGCGCACGGGUGCGUAACGCGUGGGAACCUGCCCCUAGGUUCGGAAUAACUCCCCGAAAGGGGUGCUAAUACCGGAUAAUGUCUUCGGACCAAAGAUUUAUCGCCUUUGGAUGGGCCCGCGUUGGAUUAGCUAGUUGGUAGGGUAAAAGCCUACCAAGGCGACGAUCCAUAGCUGGUCUGAGAGGAUGAUCAGCCACACUGGGACUGAGACACGGCCCAGACUCCUACGGGAGGCAGCAGUGGGGAAUAUUGGACAAUGGGCGAAAGCCUGAUCCAGCAAUGCCGCGUGAGUGAUGAAGGCCUUAGGGUUGUAAAGCUCUUUUACCCGGGAUGAUAAUGACAGUACCGGGAGAAUAAGCUCCGGCUAACUCCGUG
RNAcentral lists this ribosomal RNA (433 nucleotides) under uncultured bacterium. RNAcentral describes it as "partial 16S ribosomal RNA". It matches the Rfam family "Bacterial small subunit ribosomal RNA", at positions 29 to 507 of the family's 1533-position model. The record is from RNAcentral.